This 451-nucleotide ribosomal RNA is filed under the name uncultured bacterium. RNAcentral's name for it is "partial 16S ribosomal RNA". It matches the Rfam family "Bacterial small subunit ribosomal RNA", at positions 28 to 523 of the family's 1533-position model. The record is from RNAcentral.
GACGAACGCUGGCGGCAGGCUUAACACAUGCAAGUCGAGCGGGCAUCUUCGGGUGUCAGCGGCGGACGGGUGAGUAACGCGUGGGAACGUGCCUUCUGGUUCGGAAUAACUCAGGGAAACUUGAGCUAAUACCGGAUACGCCCUUUUGGGGAAAGGUUUACUGCCGGAAGAUCAGCCCGCGUCUGAUUAGCUAGUUGGUGGGGUAACGGCCUACCAAGGCGACGAUCAGUAUCUGGUCUGAGAGGAUGAUCAGCCACACUGGGACGGGGACACGGCCCAGACUCCUACGGGAGGCAGCAUUGGGGAAUAUUGGACAAUGGGGGCAACCCUGAUCCAGCCAUGCCGCGUGAGUGAUGAAGGCCUUAGGGUUGUAAAGCUCUUUUAUCCGGGACGAUAAUGACGGUACCGGAGGAAUAAGCCCCGGCUAACUUCGUGCCAGCAGCCGCCGUAA